Molecule: transfer RNA, 75 nt
Filed under: Verrucomicrobiota bacterium
Lineage: Bacteria; Pseudomonadati; Verrucomicrobiota
Also listed under: 2 other names
Description: tRNA-Thr
Rfam family: tRNA
About the family: Transfer RNA (tRNA) molecules are approximately 80 nucleotides in length.
Source: RNAcentral
GCCAGUGUAGCUCAGUGGUAGAGCAGCUGUUUCGUAAACAGCAGGUCGCCGGUUCAAUCCCGGCCACUGGCUCCA